Molecule: ribosomal RNA, 406 nt
Filed under: uncultured bacterium
Lineage: Bacteria
Description: partial 16S ribosomal RNA
Rfam family: Bacterial small subunit ribosomal RNA
Source: RNAcentral
AUUGAACGCUGGCGGCAGGCUUAACACAUGCAAGUCGAACGAGUGGCGGACGGGUGAGUAAUGCCUGGGAAUCUGCCUGAUGGAGGGGGAUAACUACGGGAAACGGUAGCUAAUACCGCAUACCAUCAGAUGAGCCCAGAUGGGAUUAGGUAGUUGGUGGGGUAAAGGCUCACCAAGGCGACGAUCCCUAGCUGGUCUGAGAGGAUGACCAGCCACACUGGGACUGAGACACGGCCCAGACUCCUACGGGAGGCAGCAGUGGGGAAUAUUGCGCAAUGGGGGCAAGCCUGAUGCAGCCAUGCCGCGUGAAUGAAGAAGGCCUUCGGGUUGUAAAGCACUUUAAGUUGGGAGGCGUUACCAACAGAAUAAGCACCGGCUAACUUCGUGCCAGCAGCCGCGGUAAUUC